GACGAACGCUGGCGGCGUGCUUAACACAUGCAAGUCGAACGGAAAGGCCCUGCUUUUGUGGGGUGCUCGAGUGGCGAACGGGUGAGUAACACGUGAGUAACCUGCCCUUGACUUUGGGAUAACUUCAGGAAACUGGGGCUAAUACCGGAUAGGAGCUCCUGCUGCAUGGUGGGGGUUGGAAAGUUUCGGCGGUAGGGGAUGGACUCGCGGCUUAUCAGCUUGUUGGUGGGGUAGUGGCUUACCAAGGCUUUGACGGGUAGCCGGCCUGAGAGGGUGACCGGCCACAUUGGGACUGAGAUACGGCCCAGACUCGUACGGGGGGCAGCAGGGGGGAAUAUUGCACAGUGGGCGGAAGCCUGAGACAGCGACGCCGCGUGCGGGAUGACGGCCUUCGGGGUAUAAACCGCUUUCGCCUGUGACGAAGCGUGAGUGACGGUAAUGGGUAAAGAAGCACCGGCUAACUACGUG
This 468-nucleotide ribosomal RNA is filed under the name uncultured bacterium. RNAcentral describes it as "partial 16S ribosomal RNA". It matches the Rfam family "Bacterial small subunit ribosomal RNA", at positions 28 to 507 of the family's 1533-position model. The record is from RNAcentral.